GACGAACCGUGCGAACGUUGCUCGGAAUCACUGGGCUUAAAGGGUGCGUAGGCGGGCAUUCAAGUCAGGGGUGAAAUCCUCCAGCUUAACUGGGGAACUGCGUCUGAUACUGGAUGGCUUGGGUUUGGGAGAGGGAUGCGGAAUUCCAGGUGUAGCGGUGAAAUGCGUAGAUAUCUGGAGGAACACCGGUGGCGAAGGCGGCAUCCUGGACCAACACUGACACUGAGGAGCGAAAGCCAGGGGAGCAAACGGG
This 253-nucleotide ribosomal RNA is filed under the name uncultured bacterium. Its description in RNAcentral is "partial 16S ribosomal RNA". It matches the Rfam family "Bacterial small subunit ribosomal RNA", at positions 524 to 776 of the family's 1533-position model. The record is from RNAcentral.